Felis catus (domestic cat) is the source of this 395-nucleotide long non-coding RNA. RefSeq lists it as uncharacterized. The transcript has 2 exons. The record is from RefSeq and is a predicted model, not a curated record. Lineage: Eukaryota; Metazoa; Chordata; Mammalia; Carnivora; Felidae.
GAAUGUAAGUACUGUGUCUUACUUACUGUGUAAGUACAGGAUAGAAUGAAGCAGAUGCCAAAAGAGGGACAGAGAAGAUACCGAAGGAGUGGGGGGAGUGACAUCUUCCACCUGGGGACUCCAGGCAGCUUUCUGGAGAAGGUUUCAGACCAACUCCCUAUGUACUCACUUCAUCUGACCUGAAGCUUUUCCACAUGGCUGCCCACCCCCAGUGAUGCUGAAGAUCCUGGUUCCCACCCCACCCUGGAGGAUUUCUUGGUGGCAUGUGCCAAGGAGAGAGUUUGAGCGGUCACUGUCUACCAUGAAGCCCCAGCUCGUGCUCAUUUUUUCAGACCUGACUUGCCAGUCUGGUUCCAGCCCAUUGUGAAACUGAAUAAAAGAAACUUAAUUUAAAA